GAGAGUUUGAUCCUGGCUCAGGACGAACGCUGGCGGCGUGCUUAACACAUGCAAGUCGAACGGUGAUCCAUUUCGGUGGUGAUCAGUGGCGAACGGGUGAGUAACACGUGAGCAACCUGCCCCUGGCUCUGGGAUAACUCCGGGAAACCGGGGCUAAUACCGGAUAUGACAUUCUACCGCAUGGUGGUUUGUGGAAAGUUUUUCGGCUGGGGAUGGGCUCGCGGCCUAUCAGCUUGUUGGUGGGGUGAUGGCCUACCAAGGCGACGACGGGUAGCCGGCCUGAGAGGGCGACCGGCCACACUGGGACUGAGACACGGCCCAGACUCCUACGGGAGGCAGCAGUGGGGAAUAUUGCGCAAUGGGCGAAAGCCUGACGCAGCAACGCCGCGUGAGGGAUGAAGGCC
Molecule: ribosomal RNA, 404 nt
Filed under: uncultured bacterium
Lineage: Bacteria
Description: bacterial SSU rRNA
Rfam family: Bacterial small subunit ribosomal RNA
Source: RNAcentral